Molecule: ribosomal RNA, 279 nt
Filed under: uncultured bacterium
Lineage: Bacteria
Description: partial 16S ribosomal RNA
Rfam family: Bacterial small subunit ribosomal RNA
Source: RNAcentral
UGCCAGCCGCCGCGGUAAUACGGAGGGUGCAAGCGUUGUUCGGAAUUAUUGGGCGUAAAGCGCGUGUAGGCGGUUCGUUAAGUCUGAUGUGAAAGCCCGGGGCUUAACCGAGGAGGGUGAUUUGAAACUGGUAGACUUGAGUACGGCAGAGGUUAGUGGAAUUCAAUGUGUAGCGGUGGAAUGCGUAGAUAUAUUGAGGAACACCAGUGGCGAAGGCGGCUAACUGGACCGGAACUGACGCUGAGGCACGAAAGCGUGGGGAGCAAACAGGAUUAGAUA